Molecule: ribosomal RNA, 253 nt
Filed under: uncultured bacterium
Lineage: Bacteria
Description: partial 16S ribosomal RNA
Rfam family: Bacterial small subunit ribosomal RNA
Source: RNAcentral
UACGUAGGGCGCAAGCGUUGUCCGGAAUUAUUGGGCGUAAAGAGCUCGUAGGCGGCCAGUUGCGUCUGCUGUGAAAUCCCGGGGCUCAACCCCGGGCGUGCAGUGGAUACGGGCUGGCUAGAGGCAGGCAGGGGAGAACGGAAUUCCCGGUGUAGCGGUGAAAUGCGUAGAUAUCGGAAGGAACACCAGUGGCGAAAGCGGCUUCCUGGUCCAGCACCGACGUUCAGGCACGAAAGCGUGGGGAGCAAACAGG